CAAGUUCCUUGAUCCAACAAGACAAUUCCUAGCUUGAAUGGGUGAGAAAUGAAAAAUCAAUGAAGCUUUGUGUGAGAGGGAGAGAAGGACGGUUUGUGAGAGAAGAGAAGGAGAGGUUUCACAAUUUUUUUCUAAGUCCCAAAAGUCUACCAAACAAAACCUAUGACAAGUGGUCUUGCUCCACCAUGACCACUUGAUCAAAAGCACUUUCCCUUGGCCAAUCCUAGCCCUCCAAUUCCCUUACACAAAUAUCUAGAUAUUUCUAACACACCCCACAACCUUCGCGCGCCGCGACGAGCAAAAUUCGUAAAAACCGAAAACUUACGGAACGAACGUCCGUCUCAAAAUAUUUCCAAAACUUAUCGCCGAAUCUUUUUUCCGCGACUGUAAUUUUCUUCCACGCUCUCGAAAAUUAAUCUCAGGACAUAUCCUAACUCGCGCAGAUAUAUAAACCUUCUAUCUAAAAUUUUACUGAAUUCCGAAACCGUAAAAUUUUACGCAGCGGGUAAAAUAUUGCCCGUUUUCUCGAAAACUAGAACAACUCGAAAAAUGGAUCUCUAAAGUCGCAGGAACAACCUCAUCCAUAAAAGAAGACUAAUGAAAUCAACCUCAUGCUAUUCCGACACUCGAGCGCGAAACAAGCACGAUUUCUGCGAAACCGCCUCUUACGGAAACGAUCAUAACUUGAGUUCCGAUUGUCCAAUUGAGACGCACCAAUAAUUGUUGGAAAGCUAACGACGAGAUCUACAACUUUCAUGUUGACCAUAAAAACCAAAUCAAAACGCAAAGGGGGCAAAAGGCACGUAUACGUUCAGACUUCACACAAAACAGUUUUUCUACACUUGUUUUCAACGCAACGUGCUUACGAAUUUGAAAAACGACUCAAUUGACUUCAACCAAACAUUCAUUUUAUUCCAAAUACAACGAACACUUAAUAUCCUUAAUGUACAAUGAAAUUAUGGGUCUUACAAUAUUUUAAUUAUGUCUACAAAAAAUCAUUCAAAAUUUAAAAUUUUAAUGAUAAUUAAACAAAUUUAAUUUUAAUAGAGACUAAAAUUAUGUCCAAGAAAAAUUUAGAAGAACUAAAAAUAUAAUAAAAAUUAAGUAAAAGUCCUGAUUUUAUAAUAACUAAAAAUAUAUUUAACUCUUAUUUAAAAAAACAAAAUCGUCCAAGUUAUGGAUUAAUGCAAGGAAUCUCUACUCAAAAACAAAUAAAAAAUAUAAGAAUAUCAAUACAAAAAAAUAUGAUAAUAUACCCAUGAAAAAAUGCAUUUUAAAAAAUGGAGGUAACAACAACAGAAUAAAAAAAAAUGAUCUGAAUGAAAUGCUUGAUUACCUUUCAUGAGUCAUUUCCGUUCGGUGCACAAAGUAUCUUCCUUCCCCCUUUCUCAAAUUGCAAGCAGAAACAUGAAAGAAGCAAUAAAUCUUCUAUCUAAAAAAAAAAUGAAAGAAGCAAUAACAGCUAAGAGAGACUAUAACAAUUGUAACCACAAUAAUGUAGGGCUUCACAACAACCUACCUUUUAGUGCUUAUCCAAGUGCAUGACAUCGAUUCAUGCAAAGGCAUGACUCGAGACAUGACAUUUCAAAUUCAGUUUUAUGCAUUUAUCUUUAUUAAAACAUGCCUAAAACAUACCCAUUCAAUCCUAGUUCAUCACACUUUAUAAAAAAACAACUUCUAAUCAUGAUUUUAACACAAUAGUGAGCUUUGGGUAAGGGGAAGCUCAUUAUACACCAUCCUUACAUAAAUUGAAUUAUUGUUGAAAACUUACACGAUAGAUUGGGGAAAAACUAAGAACUGUCAUGCAUGUUUCAUGUUCAUCAAAAUCAUCAUUAUAACGAACAUUAGGAGUAUACCGGGUACUUAAUACUCCAAUUUACCAUUUGUUUCUAACCUAAGGUUUACAAUUAGUUCUUAAUUUGGCCAAACUUAAAAGGUAGGCUAACCUAAAGGAACCCACCUGUGAAUUUCCAGCAGCUCCAAGCUAUUCUUUACACCUUUAUGCAUCUGUUUGAGCGGCUCAAGCAUGCCAAACCCGCUGCCAAAAAUUCUGUAAUUCUACAGCAUCAGGACCCUAUCUUAAAACACAUCUCCAUUCCUCAUUACUAACCCAAAACCUAUGAAAGAGGUACUCAAACUUUAGGGAAUUUCGUCUGGAUUAUGAAACUUUAACCAUUGUUCAAAUCUGGGUCACAGAGUGAAUGUUAUGACAGAAAUACUAGUGAUAGGUCCAUACGAAUUUAUGCAGAAUU
Molecule: long non-coding RNA, 2252 nt
Filed under: Trifolium pratense (red clover)
Lineage: Eukaryota; Viridiplantae; Streptophyta; Magnoliopsida; Fabales; Fabaceae
Description: long non-coding RNA (TPRA_LNC011662)
Source: RNAcentral